AGGCAGCCCCAUUGGUUAGCGGGGUCGCUGUUAAAGCCAAUCGAUGUGCUGGCGGAGUCGUGAAGGGGAACGAGCGCGAGCGCGAAUGGGACAAAUGGAAGCUGAUAAAAAGGGGCGCGUGCCUCGGUUGGCUCGCGGCGGGACGGACGGUGGAAAGCAGAGCGACAGCAGCGCCUCGAGCUCAAGACGUUUCUUUUAAUUUUGAAGUGAGCCAGCGUUUCCAGAGAGAAAACGGUUGGAAAUCUGCUCCUGAAAAUCCGGU
Molecule: long non-coding RNA, 262 nt
Organism: Cyprinodon variegatus (sheepshead minnow)
Lineage: Eukaryota; Metazoa; Chordata; Actinopteri; Cyprinodontiformes; Cyprinodontidae
Exons: 3
Source: RefSeq, a predicted model, not a curated record